GGGGACCACUGGACAGUUCGCGAGGUUUUGGCCCUCCCAAAAUCCAAUUCCCCGGGGCUGAUUUUUCUUUCGGAAACACGUCAAGCCUCAAAUAAGAUGGAGAUACUAAAGUGGAGACUACAAAUGAAGGGGUUCGUGGGUGUAUCUAGUGAUGGCCGUAGUGGGGGGCUUGCUUUCCACUGGGAUGAGAAGUUACAGGUGAAAGUUUUGGAUACAUGUGCGCGGUAUAUUGAUGUGCAGAUUGUGGAUAUUGCUAAUGAUAAAUCCUGGAGGACUACUUUUGUGUAUGGCGAACCACGGGUGGAGAACCGCCAUCGCAUGUGGACUUCCUUGACAACACUCCGAGCGAUUUCAGCGGAACCGUGGCUAGUGUGUGGAGACUUCAAUGAAGCAAUGUUGCAGCACGAACACUUCUUGCGUGUUCAACGAGCGGAAAGUCAUAUGCUAUUGUUUAGGGACUGCCUUACGUCCUGCGAGCUUAUGGAUUUGGGUUUCUCUGGAAUUCUGUUCACUUAUGACAAUGGUCAACAGGAUGAUGGUAAUGUCAGGGUCAGACUGGACAGAGCAUGUGCCGACGAAGCAUGGAGGGAUAUGUUCCCUUUCACGCGAGUGAGGCACCUAGCAUCGUCAUACUCAGAUCAUGUCCCGGUGCUUGUUCAAUAUGCACAGGGUGAACCCUAG
RNAcentral lists this ribosomal RNA (681 nucleotides) under Triticum aestivum (bread wheat). RNAcentral describes it as "partial small subunit ribosomal RNA". The record is from RNAcentral. Lineage: Eukaryota; Viridiplantae; Streptophyta; Magnoliopsida; Poales; Poaceae.